Molecule: unclassified non-coding RNA, 161 nt
Filed under: uncultured Xylariaceae
Lineage: Eukaryota; Fungi; Ascomycota; Sordariomycetes; Xylariales; Xylariaceae
Description: sequence contains ITS2
Source: RNAcentral
CAACCCUUAAGCCCUGUUGCUUAGCGUUGGGAGCCCGCCGGCCCUGGGCCUGCAGCUCCUCAAAGUUAGUGGCGGAGUUAGCGUAUACUCUAGGCGUAGUAAUUUACAUCUCGCCUCUGUGGUUGCGCUGGCGCCUGCCGUAAAACACCCAACUUUAAACU